RNAcentral lists this ribosomal RNA (253 nucleotides) under uncultured bacterium. RNAcentral describes it as "partial 16S ribosomal RNA". It matches the Rfam family "Bacterial small subunit ribosomal RNA", at positions 524 to 776 of the family's 1533-position model. The record is from RNAcentral.
UACGAAGGGGGCUAGCGUUGCUCGGAAUCACUGGGCGUAAAGCGCACGUAGGCGGAUCGCUAAGUCAGGGGUGAAAUCCUGGAGCUCAACUCCAGAACUGCCUUUGAUACUGGCGAUCUCGAGUCCGGGAGAGGUGAGUGGAACUGCGAGUGUAGAGGUGAAAUUCGUAGAUAUUCGCAAGAACACCAGUGGCGAAGGCGGCUCACUGGCCCGGUACUGACGCUGAGGUGCGAAAGCGUGGGGAGCAAACAGG